RNAcentral lists this long non-coding RNA (3118 nucleotides) under Nicotiana benthamiana. RNAcentral describes it as "long non-coding RNA (NBEN_LNC017709)". Lineage: Eukaryota; Viridiplantae; Streptophyta; Magnoliopsida; Solanales; Solanaceae. The record is from RNAcentral.
UUUAGGAAAGUAAAAUUAAUUAAGGAGCGUCCUAAAGAGACUAACGUAUUGUUAUUUUGGGAAGAGGCCGUGAAAAUUCACUAAGGGGGCAACUCCAUGUCUAUCCAAUUAUUAUGUCCUAUUAUUGAGGGCCCUGCAAUUUGUAAUUUACUGUUGUGAGGCACGCCUCCUUUAUUUUAAGGAUAUCCUGAAGUGACUACAUUUUUAUUUUAAUUCGUCUCUAAAAUAAAGAAAUAAAAAUCCUAAUUAAUUUACAUGCUUGCGAGUUCGGGGCUUCUUAUUGUCAUCAUUAGAUUUAUGCUAGCGAUUAAUAAAAAUGCACCUAAACUCGAAAGACGAAAAUUGCCUCAUGUCUUAUUUAUAAACGAGCUACAAAAGCGGAUAUGCGUACAAGAUUGAUAAAGUAUUGAAAAUGAAACAACCAUUCCAAAAUUGAUUUAAACUAAUAUUUCUAACAUGGAUUUAGACUAACGAAAUUAACAACUAGAAAGUAUUAUUAACAUGAAUGCAAAUAUUUGACCUAUGUGAUGCCUAACGGAAUCAAGUGCUACAUGCUUAAGCCAUGUUCCUACAAGUUUCCAAAAUAAACUUUUUGUUCAAUGAGGCAAUUGUUGGGUAUUUGGAAAUAUCCUAAAGAGCCUAACCUAUUUUUAAAAUACACUAUUUAACAAAUAGCACCGAAACUACAGAAUAUAGGUUCUACAACCUCAAUCCAUUUUUACUAAGCAUAUGAGGGUGGAAAUUUAUAACUAAACUACUACGAAUAUUGUUCAAUUAUACAUAGCCCACACUUACAUGAUUCUAAUAAGAUACACGAGCUAUCAUAUAUGUACAACCUAAUAUCCAAUAUACCAAACUAAAAUAAAUUCAAAAGAAACAACUUCAACUUCUUCAUUUCUAUAUUCACACUUUAACUUUCAGUUUACAAGAAACCUGUAUAUAAAUGUGUGUACCUGGUAUUUGGAAAAGCAAAGAGAAGAGUAAGAUCAAUAUGAGCAGUAGUAGCACAACUCAGUGACAAACCAAUUCAGCAACGAUAACAGAGGUCAGCGCACUUAGAAAACCAGUUUGUAAUUUUCAGAAAAACCAAACCGAUAUACCAGAAACCCAGGAAUGAUACCAAAAUAAAAAUAGUACCAAAAACAGAAACAGAAUGUAUUCAGAAAUGAGACAGGAUAGUAGAUUUUCUGAUUUCUGUUCUUUAGACUCCCAAAUAAAGACACUUGAACCUCAAUUAAACAGUAACAAACUGAUUCUGAUUUUCAAUCGUGAAAGAAAGUACUUCCUCAGUUUUAGACUUUCAAACUCUGGAAUUUUUAAGGUUAAAAAAAGCCCUAUUUAUUUCUGUUUAAAUUCUGAAAAUCUGCUCUCCAAAUUUCAGUCUCUAAUUAAGUUAAAACUCCUUCUAUUUAUAUUACCCCUCCAUUAGACCUGCCUUGCCUUAACUACCCCACCCAAAGUGCCAAAAUCUGCAUAUUUCCACUAAAAUUCCACUAAAAACCCACUAAGGAAUGUUUUUCCUACUUUCAGCCCUUAAAUCACUCCUUGUUCCCCAUUAUCACAUUAAACAAAUGGCAAUUAUAGACCUCAUUUCCCACUUUUCUAUUACACAUAAGGUUUUUAAGUAUCUCACUUUCCCACUAUUGCAUUAAGCAUAUUCCCUAACUUUUUCAUUCCCAAAUUACCCUUGGAACCUACUGUGAUUUACCCUAUAAUCCAUACUGUUCUACCUCACCCCUGUAGCCCAUCAUCUAUGAUCAAUUGAUCUAACACAAAAUUUAAUUACUGAUUAACCUAAACAAUUCUUAAUUAAUUAACGAAACACAAAGAACUACAUCUAGACUAAGAACACAUCAGCUAUAACCAACAUACUAGUACCAAAUUCACACAGAUUCAAUGGGGGAGACCAGAUGAAAAAUAAAAGAAGGGUAUCAAUCAGAUGAAACGAGUUGAUAAUGCAAGCAGAAUUGAAGAUCAAUUAUACGUUCAAGCAAUUAGCAGGCUUGUUCUUAAUCACAAAAUUAGAACAGGAGGAAGCAAAUCUACUGGCAUGAACUUAGUUAUUGCCAUGUUAUUCUAACAUUCUAACAUGAGAAACUGAUUGAUGACAUGGAUUCAAUCGGUCACACAGAUCAUGACAGAUACAAUUAACAACGAAACACAUAUUGAACGGGAAGCAAAGCUAUUGGCAUGAACUUAAUUAUUGCCAUGUUAUUCUAACAUUCUAACAUGAGAAACUAAUUGAUGACAUGAAUUCAAUCGAUCACACAAAUCAUGACAGAUACAAUUAACAACAAAACAAAUUAAACAGACUACCAAAGUGAUUCCAAUGAUUUUGGACAAUACAAAGAACUCAUGAAACUGACUAUUCGAUGACAUUUCAAAUCGAUUAUAUAGCUCAAACACACACUUAUCAAUGGACAGAAUAACACUCGACCAAAUAAAAGGUCAAAGAGGAGAAGAUGAACAGAAUCAAUCGACAGAGAUUGAAAAAUCAAUACAACAGAUUUUAAACAAAUAAACCUAUGCUAAUAACACAAAAAGAACAAAAGAAAGGGAAAGUUACCUUAUAAACUCAAAAUCAGACGACCACAUGAUUUGAACCCUAGACUCGAACUUGGAUUUUUUUAGGUCGAACAGACUUUAAUCGAAGCGUUCUCGACUGCGAACACCUCGAUUAAAGUCGAUUAGAACCCAACUCCUCUUUUAAUUUGGAUGGAUUCCAUGAUUUAAGGUUUUUAGGGUUCUUAUGUAUGAUUUGGGACUCGAAGGGUUCUACCUAGAUUCGAACGGAACCAAUGUUGUUUAGGGUAUGGAGGAGGUUAGGGGAGUGUCGGGUGUGAGUUUGGAAUGGAUUUGGGUAGGUAUCCGUUUGGCUCGAAUCUUCAUUUGAAGAUUCAAGAAGAUGGAUAAUGAUUUGAGCCAAACGGUUACCAUAUUCAGAACGGGGGUGGUUAGAUGGUCUUAUAGUGUUGGUUUGGUGACCGGCGACAUUGUUUCCGCCGGGUUUUAGGCGGAGUAAUCUUAUGGUGGCUAGGGUUUGACCCUAGGUCGUCUCUGAGUGAGAGAGACGAAGAACAGUGGUGAGGGGGGGUGUUUGAUUUAGGGGGUUGGAUUA